UAUGUUAGAUAUCCGAUUUUAUGAGUUUGGUAGUCAUUUUAAUGUAACAGUUUAAAAUAUGCCAACAGUAGGCUAUGUCUAAUUUCCACGAUUUCUUAAAAUAUAACGGAUGCUUAUCAGCAUGCGCACGCACUUCCCCACCCAACUGACUUUUAAAAUCCAACCACUGCUGCCGAGUCCGACUUCAGUUCAACCGUCAUUUUUCUGUCAUGUAUCUGAAGCUGUACAAACUCUGCCGUCUUCAUAUCCAAGAGACAGGCGGCUGACCCACGUCAAUACCGAAGUAAAUGCCAGGGAUCUUUAGUUUGUGAAAGGCGGUGAGUUGUGACGACUGCUGUCCUGAGACCAUUGAGUGCAGUCUGGAAUAUUCCAAAUGUGUGCCAGUUCCAUAAGAAAAAAGUUCCAAUCAAGAGUACACUCACCA
This is a long non-coding RNA of Sardina pilchardus (European sardine), 424 nucleotides long. RefSeq lists it as uncharacterized. Lineage: Eukaryota; Metazoa; Chordata; Actinopteri; Clupeiformes; Clupeidae. The transcript has 3 exons. The record is from RefSeq and is a predicted model, not a curated record.